GGCUUAUUGAUAAAGGAUUUUAGGUCUAGCCUGCCCCCUGAUAUAUUUAAAUGGCCGCAGUAUUUUGACUGUGCUAAGGUAGCAUAAUAAUUAGUUUUUUAAUUGAAAGCUAGAAUGAAUGGUAUUAUGAAAAAAUUACUGUCUCUUUUAAAAAAUUAAAAUUUUAUUUUUAAGUUAAAAAGCUUAAAUGUUAUUAAAAGACGAGAAGACCCUAUAGAAUUUUAUUUAAAUUAAUUUUUAAUAAGUUAGUAUAUAAAAUUUGAAAAUAAAUUUAUAUUUAGUUGGGGUGAUUAAAAAAAUUAAGUAUCUUUUUUUUAUAUUAACAUUAAUUUAUGAUUUUAUGAUUCAUGUUUAUGAUUUAAGAAUAAAUUACCUUAGGGAUAACAGCGUAAUUUUUUUUUAGAGCCCUAAUCAAAAAAAAAGAUUGCGACCUCGAUGUUGGAUUAAAAUUUAUUUUUGGUGUAGUAGCUAAAGUAUUAAGUCUGUUCGACUUUAAAAAUUUUACA
This 506-nucleotide ribosomal RNA is filed under the name Plateumaris fulvipes. Its description in RNAcentral is "partial 16S ribosomal RNA". The stretch from base 380 to 506 matches the Rfam family "Bacterial large subunit ribosomal RNA", at positions 2473 to 2600 of the family's 2925-position model. Lineage: Eukaryota; Metazoa; Arthropoda; Insecta; Coleoptera; Chrysomelidae. The record is from RNAcentral.